RNAcentral lists this ribosomal RNA (324 nucleotides) under uncultured eukaryote. RNAcentral's name for it is "partial 18S ribosomal RNA". It matches the Rfam family "Eukaryotic small subunit ribosomal RNA", at positions 1470 to 1796 of the family's 1831-position model. The record is from RNAcentral.
CCCUUAGAUGUUCUGGGCCGCACGCGCGCUACACUGAUGCAUUCAACGAGUUUCUUCCUGGUCCGAGAGGAAUGGGUAACCUUUUGAAAGUGCAUCGUGAUAGGGAUAGACUAUUGCAAUUAUUGGUCUUCAACGAGGAAUUCCUAGUAGACGUAGUUCAUCAGACUGCAUCGAUUACGUCCCUGCCCUUUGUACACACCGCCCGUCGCUCCUACCGAUUGAAUGCUCAGGUGAGCCAUUCGGACUUUCAUCAUGCUGGUUUCCAGUUUUGAUGAAGGAAAGUCUUGCGAACCUUAUCAUUUACAGGAAGGAGAAGUCGUAACA